CGAUACGAGUUUGAUCAUGGCUCAGAAUCAACGCUGGCGGCGUGCCUCAGACAUGCAAGUCGAACGACUAAAGCUCUCUUCGGAGAGUGUAUAGAGUGGCGCACGGGUGAGUAACACGUAAGUAAUCUACCCUCGAGUGGGGAAUAACAACCGGAAACGGUUGCUAAUACCGCAUAAUGCAGCGGCACCGCAAGGUGACAGUUGUUAAAGAUUUAUCGCUUGAGGAGGAGCUUGCGGCAGAUUAGCUAGUUGGUAGGGUAACGGCUUACCAAGGCUACGAUCUGUAACCGGUCUAAGAGGACGGUCGGUCACACUGACACUGAAUAACGGGUCAGACUCCUACGGGAGGCAGCAGUCGGGAAUUUUGGGCAAUGGGCGAAAGCCUGACCCAGCAACGCCGCGUGAAGGAUGAAGUAUUUCGGUAUGUAAACUUCGAAAGAAUAGGAAGAAUUAAUGACGGUACUAUUUAUAAGGUCCGGCUAACUACGUG
RNAcentral lists this ribosomal RNA (490 nucleotides) under uncultured bacterium. RNAcentral describes it as "bacterial SSU rRNA". It matches the Rfam family "Bacterial small subunit ribosomal RNA", at positions 1 to 507 of the family's 1533-position model. The record is from RNAcentral.